UUUUUUUAUCAUACAAGAUAAGUUGUAUUUAAAGUCCAAAUGGACAAUUGAUUACAAAGCCAAACUGGCCCAAUAACAAAACAGCCCAAAUUUCAACCCAAACCCGAAUAGAAUCUAGCCCAUCUCAAGAAUUUUCUGGAAUACCCACCUCUCCAUCCCUCGCUCUCCCACAAUUGAUUCCCGGGCUCCAGAUGCUUGUGAAACUGUCGAUGACCAUACGCGUAGAAGAUAAAAUUCAAGUAAAAACCAGCAACUCAAAUCCGAAAACAACUCAAGAGAGCAACAUCCUGAUAGGAAAGGAAGAAAAUGAAAGAGUUCAAACAACGAAACAUGCUCAACCCAUACCAGGUUCGAGACCAAAAUCGCCAACUGAAAUCCAAGGGGAAGGCCAUGAUAUAGCCAUGGAGCCGCAGGAAGAAGGCAAAUUCGCACUCCAGCUUGAAUUAUCCAUCGAUUCGCACCACCCUCGACAACAAUCGGUCGAAAAGAAGAUCUGAGACGCAGAAUGAAAUUAUGUAACUAGAGAUACAAUCGCACCGAACACGGACAAAAUCGGAUCCCAGCCAAAUACCUCACUGCAUAUCAUAAGAGCAAAACCAAAACUAUACAGAAAAUCGCAGCAAGAGAAAUCUCACCCCUGAAAACCCUCGUCUUCCAGGUCGCUUAUACUCUUUCUCUAUUGCUUUCUUCUUCUUCUUAUUUUUAUUUUUAUUUUUUCUAAAUAUAAUAGACUGAAUAUUUCGCUCUCUAUAUAUAAAUCUCAUUGUCUCGUAUAUAGCAUGAAGAUAAUCAAGUUGCAGAUCUUUUAGCAAAAGAGGGAGCAACGUCAAUAUGCUUCGUUGCUUUUCCAUAAAAAGAACUUUUCACUUUUGUUCUCAGUUUCUUUUUUAUUUCAAUUGACCUGGUUAUGCUAUUAUAUGAGCUAGCCGAUUGCUUUUCUUUGCUUUGCUUUCUUUCUUUCUUUUUUUUNUAUUUUU
This 977-nucleotide long non-coding RNA is filed under the name Manihot esculenta (cassava). Its description in RNAcentral is "long non-coding RNA (MESC_LNC003415)". The record is from RNAcentral. Lineage: Eukaryota; Viridiplantae; Streptophyta; Magnoliopsida; Malpighiales; Euphorbiaceae.